RNAcentral lists this ribosomal RNA (440 nucleotides) under uncultured bacterium. Its description in RNAcentral is "partial 16S ribosomal RNA". It matches the Rfam family "Bacterial small subunit ribosomal RNA", at positions 338 to 795 of the family's 1533-position model. The record is from RNAcentral.
CCUACGGGAGGCUGCAGUGGGGAAUAUUGCACAAUGGGGGGAACCCUGAUGCAGCGACGCCGCGUGAGUGAAGAAGUAUUUCGGUAUGUAAAGCUCUAUCAGCAGGGAAGAAAAUGACGGUACCUGACUAAGAAGCCCCGGCUAACUACGUGCCAGCAGCCGCGGUAAUACGUAGGGGGCAAGCGUUAUCCGGAUUUACUGGGUGUAAAGGGAGCGCAGACGGCUGUGCAAGUCUGGAGUGAAAGGCGGGGGCCCAACCCCCGGACUGCUCUGGAAACUGUAAAGCUGGAGUGCAGGAGAGGUAAGCGGAAUUCCUAGUGUAGCGGUGAAAUGCGUAGAUAUUAGGAGGAAUACCGUUAGCGAAGGCGGCAAUCUGGCUGGAAACUGACGCUGAGGUGCGAAAGCGUGGGUAGCAAACAGGAUUAGAUACCCUUGUAGUC